Molecule: ribosomal RNA, 253 nt
Filed under: uncultured bacterium
Lineage: Bacteria
Description: partial 16S ribosomal RNA
Rfam family: Bacterial small subunit ribosomal RNA
Source: RNAcentral
GACGAACCACCCAAACGUUAUUCGGAAUUACUGGGCUUAAAGCGUGCGUAGGCGGCCAUGUAAGUAGGGUGUGAAAUCCCACAGCUCAACUGUGGAACUGCGCUCUAAACUACAUGGCUAGAGGGAUAUAGAGGUGAGCGGAACUGAUGGUGGAGCGGUGAAAUGCGUUGAUAUCAUCAGGGACACCGGAGGCGAAGGCGGCUCACUGGGUCUCUUCUGACGCUGAGGCACGAAAGCUAGGGUAGCGAACGGG